Molecule: ribosomal RNA, 450 nt
Filed under: uncultured bacterium
Lineage: Bacteria
Description: partial 16S ribosomal RNA
Rfam family: Bacterial small subunit ribosomal RNA
Source: RNAcentral
GUGGGGAAUUUUGGACAAUGGGCGAAAGCCUGAUCCAGCCAUGCCGCGUGCAGGAUGAAGGCCUUCGGGUUGUAAACUGCUUUUGUACGGAACGAAAAGACUCUGGUUAAUACCUGGGGUCCAUGACGGUACCGUAAGAAUAAGCACCGGCUAACUACGUGCCAGCAGCCGCGGUAAUACGUAGGGUGCAAGCGUUAAUCGGAAUUACUGGGCGUAAAGCGUGCGCAGGCGGUUAUAUAAGACAGAUGUGAAAUCCCCGGGCUCAACCUGGGAACUGCAUUUGUGACUGUAUAGCUAGAGUACGGCAGAGGGGGAUGGAAUUCCGCGUGUAGCAGUGAAAUGCGUAGAUAUGCGGAGGAACACCGAUGGCGAAGGCAAUCCCCUGGGCCUGUACUGACGCUCAUGCACGAAAGCGUGGGGAGCAAACAGGAUUAGAUACCCGUGUAGUCC